RNAcentral lists this transfer RNA (84 nucleotides) under Acidobacteriota bacterium. RNAcentral's name for it is "Acidobacteria bacterium (soil metagenome) tRNA-Leu". It matches the Rfam family "tRNA". Rfam says of the family: Transfer RNA (tRNA) molecules are approximately 80 nucleotides in length. Their secondary structure includes four short double-helical elements and three loops (D, anti-codon, and T loops). Lineage: Bacteria; Pseudomonadati; Acidobacteriota. The record is from RNAcentral.
GCCGGGGUGGCGAAAUUGGUAUACGCACUAGACUCAAAAUCUAGCGGGAGCAAUCCCAUGUCGGUUCGACUCCGACCCUCGGCA